GAUGAACGCUGGCGGCGUGCCUAAUACAUGCAAGUCGAGCGAACAGACGAGGAGCUUGCUCCUCUGACGUUAGCGGCGGACGGGUGAGUAACACGUGGAUAACCUACCUAUAAGACUGGGAUAACUUCGGGAAACCGGAGCUAAUACCGGAUAAUAUAUUGAACCGCAUGGUUCAAUAGUGAAAGACGGUUUUGCUGUCACUUAUAGAUGGAUCCGCGCCGCAUUAGCUAGUUGGUAAGGUAACGGCUUACCAAGGCAACGAUGCGUAGCCGACCUGAGAGGGUGAUCGGCCACACUGGAGCUGAGACACGGUCCAGACUCCUACGAGAGGCAGCAGUAGGGAAUCUUCCGCAAUGGGCGAGAGCCUGACGGAGCAACGCCGCGUGGGUGAUGAAGGUCUUCGGAUCGUAAAACUCUGUUAUUAGGGAAGAACAAAUGUGUAAGUAACUAUGCACGUCUUGACGGUACCUAAUCAGAAAGCCACGGCUAACUACGUG
RNAcentral lists this ribosomal RNA (497 nucleotides) under uncultured bacterium. RNAcentral's name for it is "partial 16S ribosomal RNA". It matches the Rfam family "Bacterial small subunit ribosomal RNA", at positions 28 to 507 of the family's 1533-position model. The record is from RNAcentral.